AUGCCGCUCACGAUCAGGAAGGCCACAACAUCUCAACUACAGGAUUUGGUGGACCGCGUUGCGGAUUGCCUUCCACUUUGGAAGGCGGUCAUGCUGACGAAGAGUGGACAAUUACUGCUUGUCCAAUCUGUUAUGUGUGCUAUCCCGGUUCAUACAAUGAUGGCACUUGAUCUUCCUGCGAGAACAUUAGCGGCACUGGUCAAGAUCUGCAGAGGUUUCCUAUGGUGCGGUAAGGAGGCCGGUGGUGGAAGUUGCUCUGUCGCGUGGGAUGUAGUCUGCACGCCCAAAUGGGCUGGCAGGCUAGGGCUACCCAACCUACACUAGCUGAACAAGGCACUUCAGGCGCGAUGGGCAUGGCUUCAGAGAACUAACAAGGAAAGGCCAUGGGCUGACUUCUCGAUCGUUGUUCCUGCGGAGUCACGGGCCCGGGUGGAUGCAGCUGCGCGGACGAGGAUUGGGGAUGGGAAAUCCACCCUAUUCUGGGAAGAUAGAUGGAUCUAG
RNAcentral lists this ribosomal RNA (501 nucleotides) under Triticum aestivum (bread wheat). Its description in RNAcentral is "partial small subunit ribosomal RNA". Lineage: Eukaryota; Viridiplantae; Streptophyta; Magnoliopsida; Poales; Poaceae. The record is from RNAcentral.